This is a long non-coding RNA of Pseudopipra pipra, 323 nucleotides long. RefSeq lists it as uncharacterized. The transcript is spliced from 3 exons. Lineage: Eukaryota; Metazoa; Chordata; Aves; Passeriformes; Pipridae. The record is from RefSeq and is a predicted model, not a curated record.
GCUGAAGUGGGAUCCUUAUGGCUGUGGAGAUAUAUAUCCUGAUUUAAUUGUGCAGGAAACCACUAGACCAACCUGUUACACAGCAUCAAGGCACAGAACUUUCUUCAGUUAUUUUUAUAAGCCUUUACUUGAAGCAGGUUCUUCUAUUCUGCUGCAUUUACUGGAUUGAGGAUGGAGUAUUUCGUGAUACACAGCAAUCUUCGUUACCUUGGAGGUACCAGCUUUCAGUGCAGCAGAAUGGUAGGAUAUUCUGAAGAGUAAUUAAUUGGAGAACUUUGUGCUACUUCAGUAGUUCACUAUCCCAGAAAAGGUCUCUGAAGAGG